This 465-nucleotide ribosomal RNA is filed under the name uncultured bacterium. Its description in RNAcentral is "partial 16S ribosomal RNA". It matches the Rfam family "Bacterial small subunit ribosomal RNA", at positions 28 to 507 of the family's 1533-position model. The record is from RNAcentral.
GAUGAACGCUGGCGGCGUGCUUAACACAUGCAAGUCGAACGGAAAGGCUCCUGCUUGCAGGGGUACUCGAGUGGCGAACGGGUGAGUAACACGUGGGUGAUCUGCCCUGCACUUCGGGAUAAGCCUGGGAAACUGGGUCUAAUACCGGAUAGGACCACAUUUUGGAUGGGGUGGUGGAAAGUUUUUCGGUGUGGGAUGAGCUCGCGGCCUAUCAGCUUGUUGGUGGGGUAAUGGCCUACCAAGGCGUCGACGGGUAGCCGGCCUGAGAGGGUGUACGGCCACCAUGGGACUGCGAUACGGCCCAGACUCCUACGGGAGGCAGCAGUGGGGAAUAUUGCACAAUGGGCGCAAGCCUGAUGCAGCGACGCCGCGUGGGGGAUGACGGCCUUCGGGUUGUAAACUCCUUUCGCUAGAGACGAAGCGCAAGUGACGGUACCUGGAGAAGAAGCCCCGGCUAACUACGUG